This is a non-coding RNA of Otolemur garnettii (small-eared galago), 107 nucleotides long. The record is from Rfam. Lineage: Eukaryota; Metazoa; Chordata; Mammalia; Primates; Galagidae.
GUGCUCGCUUCAGCAGCACAUAUACUAAAAUUGGAAUGAUACAGAGAAGAUUAGCACAGCUCCUAAAAAAAAAAAAAAAACCAACUUGAGUUCCUAUCUCUCACUAU